Molecule: long non-coding RNA, 497 nt
Organism: Biomphalaria glabrata
Lineage: Eukaryota; Metazoa; Mollusca; Gastropoda; Planorbidae
Exons: 3
Source: RefSeq, a predicted model, not a curated record
CAUUCAGAUAUUAGGAUGAACAUUUUUCCUUCUUCAUUGAACUUAAUGUUCAUUAUUGACUAUAAAAACUGACAUUAGCUCCAGCAUAAGUAGACAAUAAAAAAACUGGUUAGAGCGCUCUAGAAGCUGGACAAGAUAGUGCCGGGAAAUAAUUAAAGAUGAAAAGUGUGAAGAUGUGCCUUGUCCUUGUCAGUGUCACGUGUCUAUGUGUGACCCUUGUUACGUCUGCACCAACAUGGCCUGAAGGAGUAGACCUGGAAGAUCAGAAAAGUGGACCUGACUUCUCUUAUCCAUCAAUUCCGGAGAUCUACAACCGAGUCCGGAAACAGCUCGCCCAGAUGUAUGUCGGGAGAAUCCACUACAUGACGACCCCAGAGCCUAGCAGAAGAUAUCAAGGUCCUUACCUUAUUAAAGAUUAACUCCAAUGAGAGAGAGAGCUACUCUACAGAAUCAAAAAUAAAAUUUACUUUUGUUGCUAUUAAAGUUUAUUUGUAUUA